GGUUAAGUAACAAAAUCAGAGAGCACGGGAUUGAGGUGAUUAAGGGCAACAAAUGGAUGGUAAAGGAAAGUGGGAAAGCCAUUCAGUCAGAUGAUACUGGGCCAGGAGAGUGAGAUGAACAUGGAGGAGGGGGUGGGCCAAAUGAUGGAGAGAAGGCUGGAAAGAAAGAGACUUCAGGAGGCAGGUGAUGAGGAGAAAGAGGCAGCUGGAGUCAGGGAAGAGGGAAGAAUAGAAAGCGGAGACACCAGGGUCGGGGGUCGGGGAGAGAAACCAGGAGUUAGGAUAGGGAAGAG
RNAcentral lists this long non-coding RNA (293 nucleotides) under Homo sapiens (human). RNAcentral describes it as "non-protein coding lnc-KDM2A-1:1". Lineage: Eukaryota; Metazoa; Chordata; Mammalia; Primates; Hominidae. The record is from RNAcentral.